This 997-nucleotide ribosomal RNA is filed under the name Microbacterium thalassium. RNAcentral describes it as "bacterial SSU rRNA". It matches the Rfam family "Bacterial small subunit ribosomal RNA", at positions 57 to 1065 of the family's 1533-position model. The record is from RNAcentral. Lineage: Bacteria; Bacillati; Actinomycetota; Actinomycetes; Micrococcales; Microbacteriaceae.
GCAAGUCGAACGGUGAAGCCCAGCUUGCUGGGUGGAUCAGUGGCGAACGGGUGAGUAACACGUGAGCAACCUGCCCCUGACUCUGGGAUAAGCGCUGGAAACGGCGUCUAAUACUGGAUACGAGACGUGACCGCAUGGUCAACGUUUGGAAAGAUUUUUCGGUUGGGGAUGGGCUCGCGGCCUAUCAGCUUGUUGGUGAGGUAAUGGCUCACCAAGGCGUCGACGGGUAGCCGGCCUGAGAGGGUGACCGGCCACACUGGGACUGAGACACGGCCCAGACUCCUACGGGAGGCAGCAGUGGGGAAUAUUGCACAAUGGGCGAAAGCCUGAUGCAGCAACGCCGCGUGAGGGACGACGGCCUUCGGGUUGUAAACCUCUUUUAGCAAGGAAGAAGCGAAAGUGACGGUACUUGCAGAAAAAGCGCCGGCUAACUACGUGCCAGCAGCCGCGGUAAUACGUAGGGCGCAAGCGUUAUCCGGAAUUAUUGGGCGUAAAGAGCUCGUAGGCGGUUUGUCGCGUCUGCUGUGAAAUCCCGAGGCUCAACCUCGGGUCUGCAGUGGGUACGGGCAGACUAGAGUGCGGUAGGGGAGAUUGGAAUUCCUGGUGUAGCGGUGGAAUGCGCAGAUAUCAGGAGGAACACCGAUGGCGAAGGCAGAUCUCUGGGCCGUAACUGACGCUGAGGAGCGAAAGGGUGGGGAGCAAACAGGCUUAGAUACCCUGGUAGUCCACCCCGUAAACGUUGGGAACUAGUUGUGGGGUCCAUUCCACGGAUUCCGUGACGCAGCUAACGCAUUAAGUUCCCCGCCUGGGGAGUACGGCCGCAAGGCUAAAACUCAAAGGAAUUGACGGGGACCCGCACAAGCGGCGGAGCAUGCGGAUUAAUUCGAUGCAACGCGAAGAACCUUACCAAGGCUUGACAUACACGAGAACGCUGCAGAAAUGUAGAACUCUUUGGACACUCGUGAACAGGUGGUGCAUGGUUGUCGUCAGCUCGUGU